This 460-nucleotide ribosomal RNA is filed under the name uncultured bacterium. Its description in RNAcentral is "partial 16S ribosomal RNA". It matches the Rfam family "Bacterial small subunit ribosomal RNA", at positions 338 to 795 of the family's 1533-position model. The record is from RNAcentral.
CCUACGGGUGGCAGCAGUGAGGAAUAUUGGUCAAUGGACGAGAGUCUGAACCAGCCAAGUAGCGUGAAGGAUGACUGCCCUAUGGGUUGUAAACUUCUUUUAUAUGGGAAUAAAAUGUUCCACGUGUGGCUUUUUGUAUGUCCCAUAUGAAUAAGGAUCGGCUAACUCCUUGCCAGCAGCCGCGGUAAUACGGAGGAUCCGAGCGUUAUCCGGAUUUAUUGGGUUUAAAGGGAGCGUAGGUGGAUUGUUAAGUCAGUUGUGAAAGUUUGCGGCUCAACCGUAAAAUUGCAGUUGAAACUGGCAGUCUUGAGUACAGUAGAGGUGGGCGGAAUUCGUGGUGUAGCGGUGAAAUGCUUAGAUAUCACGAAGAACUCCGAUUGCGAAGGCAGCUCACUGGACUGCAACUGACACUGAGGCUCGAAAGUGUGGGUAUCAAACAGGAUUAGAUACCCCUGUAGUC